CGAGAGAUGGAAAGUAAAAUAAAAUCAUUGCAGGAAAAGGCUCGUAUAGCUGUCGAGUCUGCAGGCUCUUAUAUCACUUGAUCUUUGACCAACUUUUGCUUACCAGGAAGUAAUAGCUUUGUAUAAGCAAUCGAGACACUCCAAAGGCAACUAUUUAAUCCUUGCUGCAUCUAUUUGAUCCCAACUUGGGAGGGGAUUAUGGAGGUAGCUCAUUGAGUUUAAUUAUUUUCUUGUAAUAAUGAAAGUAGUUGGGUAAUAUUUAUAAUGGAAGAAAGUAUAUAUUAAUCAAAUGGUUCUGGAGAA
Long non-coding RNA from Rosa chinensis, 303 nucleotides. RefSeq lists it as uncharacterized. The record is from RefSeq and is a predicted model, not a curated record. NCBI's taxonomy places the organism in Eukaryota, Viridiplantae, Streptophyta, Magnoliopsida, Rosales, Rosaceae. The transcript has 2 exons.